CAGUCGCCGCGGGAAUACGAAGGGUGCAAGCGUUAAUCGGAAUUACUGGGCGUAAAGCGCACGUAGGCGGCGAUUUAAGUCAGAGGUGAAAGCCUGGAGCUCAACUCCAGAACUGCCUUUGAGACUGGAUUGCUUGAAUCACGGAGAGGUGGGUGGAAUUCCGAGUGUAGAGGUGAAAUUCGUAGAGAUCGGGAGGAACAUCAGUGGCGAAGGCGGCCAUCUGGGACAACACUGACGCUGAGGCACGAAAGCGUGGGGAGCAAACAGGAUUAGAUACCCCAGUAGUCCCUGUCUCUUAUAC
This 301-nucleotide ribosomal RNA is filed under the name uncultured bacterium. Its description in RNAcentral is "partial 16S ribosomal RNA". It matches the Rfam family "Bacterial small subunit ribosomal RNA", at positions 509 to 807 of the family's 1533-position model. The record is from RNAcentral.